RNAcentral lists this long non-coding RNA (938 nucleotides) under Prunus dulcis (almond). RNAcentral describes it as "sRNA ncRNA". Lineage: Eukaryota; Viridiplantae; Streptophyta; Magnoliopsida; Rosales; Rosaceae. The record is from RNAcentral.
UUUUUAUUAAUUAGUAAUUGGAAAGCAAAUAAAUAUAGUGUAUUAUAUUACCAUAAACUUUUCAUAUUAAUAUUAUAUAUCAUGGGCUGUCAACCUGAAUAUCCCUUCUCUCUUUUUUCGUGGGUUCCUCUCAAUACUAGAGGAAAUGAAAAGUAGAGACAAACCUUAGUGCUAGUCUGCAUUCACGUUUGUCUGCUUCCUUGAGUGAUAAUUUCACGAACAAAGUGGACGAACCUGCACAAGCUCCUCCUGCACACCUUUACUUGCAAGGAAAUUUUUUUUUUUUUUUUUUCGAUAGAUUCUUCUCAAAACCAUGAUGAAAUAAUAUAAUCUUAUUAUACUAAUAUACUAGCUAUAUAGCAUAUUAUAUAAAAUAUGCAAAAAGUGAUGGAUAUCAAGCUUGCUACUGCCUUUCCACCUGCAGAGCAAGUUAAAUAGUGUAGGAUGAUACUAAAGUAAUUGAAAGAUAAGGAAGCAGAGGACUUAUUAUUUUUUCAGUGGGUUCUCUAUUCUUUCGGUGGGUUCUAUCAAUACCAAAGUGCAGAACACUAUCUCUUCCCUCUUUUGUGGCUGCUAUGCUUCCACCUGGUUUGAGUUGCUUCUCUUCACCUUUGCUUGCUUGUUUGCCCAUAAACCCUUCAUCACCUCUUGAGUGGUGUUGAGCUUGUAAACUUGGCCAAGAACAAGAGCAUUAGUUGACUGGUCUUAUAUGCAUUGAUCCAACGUCGCCAUCUCCAUUCUCAAACUCUACCAGAAGUGAUAGCCAAAAUUUGUUGAACCUUCAUUUACGUGGAAGGCCACCUGCCUCCCAGGAUAUUUACAUGGCGUAGAGGGGUUUUAUUAUUUUAUCACUAUUUUUGUUAGGAUUGGAGGGGCACAAGGUGGUGGAGAUGAGCAGAUCAACAUAGUGGCUAGGAUUGGUCUUUGUGAUCUCACUU